ACCUGGGUGGCUCAAUCGGUAGAGCAUAAGACUCUUAAUCUUGUGGGUCAUGAGUUUAAGCCCCAGAUU
Molecule: transfer RNA, 69 nt
Filed under: Felis catus (domestic cat)
Lineage: Eukaryota; Metazoa; Chordata; Mammalia; Carnivora; Felidae
Also listed under: 1 other name
Rfam family: tRNA
About the family: Transfer RNA (tRNA) molecules are approximately 80 nucleotides in length. Their secondary structure includes four short double-helical elements and three loops (D, anti-codon, and T loops).
Source: Rfam by way of RNAcentral